Small nucleolar RNA from Erpetoichthys calabaricus (reedfish), 139 nucleotides. Lineage: Eukaryota; Metazoa; Chordata; Cladistia; Polypteriformes; Polypteridae. The record is from Ensembl.
AUUCCCAUUUUAGUACCGUUCAUCCGAUCUAGCAGGUUGAGUGGCUAUGCUAAUGGGAAAGAGAAUCUCUGCCAUUGUCUGAAGAAGAGUCUGGCAUCAUAAACCACCUCUUCUAUAUGAAAUGACAGGACAAGACAUU